UACGUAGGGUGCGAGCGUUAAUCGGAAUUACUGGGCGUAAAGCGUGCGCAGGCGGUUUUGUAAGCCAGAUGUGAAAUCCCCGGGCUUAACCUGGGAAUGGCCUUCAAGACUGUCGAGCUAGAGGACGAGAGAGGUGAGUGGAAUUCCCAGUGUAGAGGUGAAAUUCGUAGAUAUUGGGAAGAACACCGGUGGCGAAGGCGGCUCACUGGCUCGUUUCUGACGCUGAGGCGCGAAAGCGUGGGGAGCAAACAGG
RNAcentral lists this ribosomal RNA (253 nucleotides) under uncultured bacterium. Its description in RNAcentral is "partial 16S ribosomal RNA". It matches the Rfam family "Bacterial small subunit ribosomal RNA", at positions 524 to 776 of the family's 1533-position model. The record is from RNAcentral.